Molecule: long non-coding RNA, 454 nt
Organism: Papaver somniferum (opium poppy)
Lineage: Eukaryota; Viridiplantae; Streptophyta; Magnoliopsida; Ranunculales; Papaveraceae
Exons: 3
Source: RefSeq, a predicted model, not a curated record
AGAUGAUUCUUGUGAAGCCAUAACGCAGAAGCAUAAAACCCUUCUUUAUCUGAUUUACCAGUACCUCUCACACCUCUCAAGUUACAUAUCAACUUCAAAGUUGUUAACGGAUCUCGUUUAGAACCCUUUACUCGGUUGAUUCAAGUUUGUUGCAGAAUACGAGGAGUAUGAGUGUGCAAAGCUAAUGAAGGGUUUAAUAAGUGGUUCUUCCUCCUCCUCCUCAAUUAAUUCCUGAUUUGAAAUCCAAACUAAUUUUCAGAUUUAUUUGGUGAUCUUAGUACUUAUUUCAUCAUCGUAGAUGAUGAUUGAAGAAGAAGGUCAAUAUGAACAGCUUUUGGUGAUGAUGAUGUUAUAUGAAGAACAAGGUCACGUGAAGAACAUGGAAUUGGGCUGGGAUUCAUCGUCGAUUUUGAAAAGAAUAGAACUCGUUUCUUGAGACCAUAAAUGGCUUUGU